UACGAAGGGGGCUAGCGUUGUUCGGAAUUACUGGGCGUAAAGGGCGCGUAGGCGGUGUGUCAAGUCAGGCGUGAAAGCCCCGGGCUCAACCUGGGAACCGCGCUUGAGACUGGCACGCUCGAGUUCGGGAGAGGAUGGUGGAAUUCCCAGUGUAGAGGUGAAAUUCGUAGAGAUGUGGAGGAACACCGAUGGCGAAGGCAGCCCCCUGGGUCAAGAUUGACGCUCAUGCACGAAAGCGUGGGGAGCAAACAGG
RNAcentral lists this ribosomal RNA (253 nucleotides) under uncultured bacterium. Its description in RNAcentral is "partial 16S ribosomal RNA". It matches the Rfam family "Bacterial small subunit ribosomal RNA", at positions 524 to 776 of the family's 1533-position model. The record is from RNAcentral.